UAGGGAAUCUUCCACAAUGGACGCAAGUCUGAUGGAGCAACGCCGCGUGAGUGAAGAAGGCUUUCGGGUCGUAAAACUCUGUUAUUGAAGAAGAACGUGCGUGACAGUAACUGGUCAUGCAGUGACGGUAUUCAAUCAGAAAGUCACGCUAACUACGUGCCAGCAGCCGCGGUAAUACGUAGGUGGCAAGCGUUGUCCGGAUUUAUUGGGCGUAAAGCGAGUGCAGGCGGUCUUUUAAGUCUGAUGUGAAAGCCUUCGGCUUAACCGAAGAAGGGCAUCGGAAACUGGGAGACUUGAGUGCAGAAGAGGAGAGUGGAACUCCAUGUGUAGCGGUGAAAUGCGUAGAUAUAUGGAAGAACACGUGCGAAGGCGGCGUC
RNAcentral lists this ribosomal RNA (377 nucleotides) under uncultured bacterium. Its description in RNAcentral is "partial 16S ribosomal RNA". It matches the Rfam family "Bacterial small subunit ribosomal RNA", at positions 355 to 728 of the family's 1533-position model. The record is from RNAcentral.